This 253-nucleotide ribosomal RNA is filed under the name uncultured bacterium. RNAcentral describes it as "partial 16S ribosomal RNA". It matches the Rfam family "Bacterial small subunit ribosomal RNA", at positions 524 to 776 of the family's 1533-position model. The record is from RNAcentral.
GACGAACCGUGCGAACGUUAUUCGGAAUCACUGGGCUUAAAGGGCGCGUAGGCGGGCGGCCAAGUCAGAGGUGAAAGCCCCCAGCUCAACUGGGGAAGUGCCUUUGAUACUGGUCGUCUCGAGGGAGAUAGGGGCGUGCGGAACUUCCGGUGGAGCGGUGAAAUGCGUAGAUAUCGGAAGGAACACCAGUGGCGAAGGCGGCACUCUGGGCCGGAACUGACGCUGAGGAGCGAAAGCGUGGGGAGCGAACAGG